Molecule: ribosomal RNA, 225 nt
Filed under: Metapolybia decorata
Lineage: Eukaryota; Metazoa; Arthropoda; Insecta; Hymenoptera; Vespidae
Description: partial small subunit ribosomal RNA
Source: RNAcentral
UUAAAUCAUUAAAUUGAAAAAAUUUGGCGGUAUUUUAAAAAAUUAGAGGAAUUUGUAGUGUAAAUGAUGAGACACGAUAAGAUAAACUUUUAAAUUUAUGUAUUGCUGUUUUAAAUAAUUUAUUAAAUAAAUUUUGUAAUAUUAAAAAAAUAGGAAUUCAAGUCAAAAUGUAGUAUUUUAAAGUUAUGAAUUACAAUUUUUUAAGGAAAAUGGAUUUAAAAGUAA